ACCAUGACUCUCGACAAUGGAUAUCUCAGCUCUCAUUUCGAUGAAGAAAGUAGCGAAAUGCGAUACUUUGUGUGAAUUGAAAAAUCCCGUGAAUCAUCGAAUCUUUGAACGCAAGUUGUGCUUAAGGCCCUAGGUCGAGGGCAUGUUUGGCUAGGUGCGGGAUG
RNAcentral lists this ribosomal RNA (164 nucleotides) under Gnetum klossii. RNAcentral describes it as "5.8S ribosomal RNA". It matches the Rfam family "5.8S ribosomal RNA". From Rfam's summary of the family: 5.8S ribosomal RNA (5.8S rRNA) is a component of the large subunit of the eukaryotic ribosome. Lineage: Eukaryota; Viridiplantae; Streptophyta; Gnetopsida; Gnetales; Gnetaceae. The record is from RNAcentral.